Non-coding RNA from Pan troglodytes (chimpanzee), 2451 nucleotides. Lineage: Eukaryota; Metazoa; Chordata; Mammalia; Primates; Hominidae. The record is from RefSeq and is a predicted model, not a curated record.
CAGCCACCACACUACGUGGGUAAGUAAAGGCCUCUGGGAUCAGCAAGCCUCGGUCACUGCAGCCACCACACUACGUGGCAGCCAGACCCGGUCCGUUUGGAAUGCCUGGGAUGGUGCCGCCGCAUGUUCCUCCUCAGAUGCUCAACAUUCCGCAGACCUCUCUGCAAGCAAAGCCCGUGGCCCCACAGGUGCCCAGCCCAGGGGGCGCCCCGGGCCAGGGUCCAUACCCGUACAGCCUCUCUGAGCCAGCACCUCUCACUUUGGACACGAGCGGGAAGCAUCUGACAGAGCAGAACAGCUACAGCAACAUUCCUCACGAAGGGAAGCACACGCCGCUGUAUGAGCGGUCCUCGCCCAUCAACCCGGCCCAGAGCGGCAGCCCCAACCACGUGGAUUCCGCCUACUUCCCUGGCUCUUCUACAUCGUCAUCUUCUGACAACGACGAGGGCAGCGGAGGGGCGACAAAUGACAGCAGAGCUUUCAACACCUGUUUUCUUACACUGGGUGUCUGGAUUCUGGGAAGACUCCAGGAGUAGUUAGGAUCGUCAAAUACAAGGUCACAAAAGGAUGGCUUAGCCGAGUUCAAUCUCUUCCUGAACUGUGCCAUGUGGAAGUAUAUGUCAACUCGUGAGCAAGGUGGACAGCGUGAGUUCAGUCUUCAUCUAAAUGCAGCCCUGGACAGUCAAACACUUCACUAUUAUGCUAAUUCAUCCACUGUGGACAUAUCACACUUUUGGUUAUGAUGAUUCUUCAUCUUUGAGGGCAAUAGACACCACCUAUGUUUUGAGAAGGUCCUGGCAGAAGCAAUGAUAUGUGGAAUAAACAGAAUGUCAAGCCUGCCUGGGCAAAGUUCAGGUCCCUCCAGUUUACUGAGGAACCAAAAGAGACUGCAGUUGCCAGUCUCUCUCCAAAAGCUAAUUCUAGUGCCAAGCUCAUGGGAUGCCGGGCACACAUGGAUUCCAGACAAGCGACCCAUGUAUUCCACUCAGAGUCAAGGGCAUGGUCGUGUUGAGUCAGACACUGAGUCUCCAGAUAUGCUGUGAGGACAGGACGUCGUUCUCCCAGGAAAGGAGCUGCUAGGAAGACAGUGGGGGAGGAAGCGGGUGCAGCAGUAAGCAUCCACCUUCAGCCUCCCUCCACCGCCCCCUCCCCUCCCCCACUCAGUGUCUUAUUCAGAUGCUGCUGGGUGGGGCCUGGAUGUCUGUAUUUUUUGCAGGUUCCUCUCAGGAUUCGGAUGCAGAGCAAAGCUGGGGCCCAUCCGAGGGCAUCGCUUGAGACUUGCGAAGGGGAUGCUUAUUUCCCCAGGUCCAGCCCACAGGCCCCUAGCCUCUCACGGCUCCUGACCUUGUGGUCCACGGUGUGACCAGCCUGUCCUCCCACCCCCAGGCUCUGUCGUCCGCCAUCUGUUGUCUGUGGCUUAGCUGCAGGGUGUAGCUCACACAGGCUCCUGUCCUGCCAGCUUCCUUGGGGUCCAGCCCCCGGGGAACCCCAGAAGGAUAGCAGGGGCAGGGGCAGGCUGGGGCCAGGCGCUGAGCCUCCCAGCUCCUUCCUGCGAGGCCACCUCAGCUGGCUCUGUCGUGGGCUGCAGGCCAUGCUCCUCUUCCGGGGUGACUCUCACAGCUGUGUUCCUUGGGGCUCCUCCAACGUGACCCUCCUGUGGCAGCCCCAGGCCUGGAGCCGGUCAUGGCUGGAUGGGGACGGCCUCCGGUUCCUACCUGCGUGUGUUUCUUGACGCUGCUCUAAGGUCUCACCCCAGCCUGGCAGUCUCAAGCAGCACAAACUUAUUACCCUCCUGUCCUGGAAGACAAAACUGAAAAUCAGUCUUGCUGGGCGAAAGUCAAGGUCUGGGCAGGGCGGGCUCCUGCUGGGGGCUCCUCCUGCCUUCUCCGACUUCCCAGGCUGCCCAAGGCCCUGGGCUGCUGCCCGGUCCUCCCCUCCUGGUCUCCACUCAGCAUCUGCUCUCCGGGUCCUGCUGCUGCUGUCACACUUCCUCCCCUGACCCCUCCCUCCUGCAUGGAGGAACCCUGAGAUGAUGCUGCAUCUGCCUGGCUCAUCACGGCCUCUCCCCACCUGAAGAUCCUGUCCCAAGUCCCAUCAGCGAGGGUGCUGGUGCCAUGUGAAGGUGACAUGCACAGGACCAGGCAUUCACAUGUGGGCCCCUUGAGGGGACAUUAUUCUGUCUACCAACACUGCCUUCCAGACACCCACACUUUUGGAAACAGUCCCUUGUGUAUGAACCUUCCUCAAAGUCACCCAAUUCCAGCACUGUCUGUUUCCCUGACAGGGUGUGCUGUCCUUGGCUCUUAUUUCAAAGCAGGACGAGAAGGGAAACCCAUGCCUGUCAACAUUCCCUAAGCCCACUGUGCUGCCUGAACAGAUAUACAAUCUCUUGGGGAUUCCGUGCCACUGACCACCAUGUACAAGGAAGGGAUUCACAGGCAAGGGGUACAG